CCUGAGCUAUCCGAAGCAUUCUUAUCUUUUUACAAGACACGCAAAGAGCAUUUAACAAGUGUGCAAGCUGCAGAAAGAAUCAAGUACAAUCGCAAGAUCAAGAAAGCUUACAAUCGCCCUUCCUUUAUUAUCAACAUAACCCAAGCAAGCAACCAACUGUUCAUUAUGAUACACAUCACUGGACUCAUCUAAAUUCAUACCUUCUGUGUUGCGGCAUGGGGGUGAAGAGGAGGGGCAGACGGAAGGCUGGGCACCGCAGCGGCUAGCGCGACUGUUGUUCCCUUCGACUCCGAGCACCAGCGCUAGAGCCGGGGCGGCUCCAAGGCAGGCAACAACAAGUGGGGCCGGUGCGCCAUCG
This 358-nucleotide long non-coding RNA is filed under the name Hordeum vulgare. RNAcentral's name for it is "long non-coding RNA (HVUL_LNC005693)". The record is from RNAcentral. Lineage: Eukaryota; Viridiplantae; Streptophyta; Magnoliopsida; Poales; Poaceae.